GUCCUAGCUUCGGCGCGACAUAUACUAAAAUUGGAACGAUACAGAGGAGAUUAGCAUGGCCCCUGCGGUAGGACCACAUUAAAAAAAAAAACAUACAAAAAAAACCG
Wyeomyia smithii (pitcher-plant mosquito) is the source of this 107-nucleotide small nuclear RNA. Lineage: Eukaryota; Metazoa; Arthropoda; Insecta; Diptera; Culicidae. The record is from RefSeq and is a predicted model, not a curated record.